AUCAUAGUGGCAGAUUAGUGCGAAGAAGUUAAGUUUCUUAUAUGAGUGGUUAAAGCUCUUAUGAUA
This 66-nucleotide transfer RNA is filed under the name Polydesmus sp. GZCS-2019. RNAcentral's name for it is "tRNA-Leu". Lineage: Eukaryota; Metazoa; Arthropoda; Diplopoda; Polydesmida; Polydesmidae. The record is from RNAcentral.